Molecule: ribosomal RNA, 370 nt
Filed under: Staphylococcus aureus
Lineage: Bacteria; Bacillati; Bacillota; Bacilli; Caryophanales; Staphylococcaceae
Description: partial 23S ribosomal RNA
Rfam family: Bacterial large subunit ribosomal RNA
Source: RNAcentral
AGAUUAAGUUAUUAAGGGCGCACGGUGGAUGCCUUGGCACUAGAAGCCGAUGAAGGACGUUACUAACGACGAUAUGCUUUGGGGAGCUGUAAGUAAGCUUUGAUCCAGAGAUUUCCGAAUGGGGAAACCCAGCAUGAGUUAUGUCAUGUUAUCGAUAUGUGAAUACAUAGCAUAUCAGAAGGCACACCCGGAGAACUGAAACAUCUUAGUACCCGGAGGAAGAGAAAGAAAAUUCGAUUCCCUUAGUAGCGGCGAGCGAAACGGGAAGAGCCCAAACCAACAAGCUUGCUUGUUGGGGUUGUAGGACACUCUAUACGGAGUUACAAAGGACGACAUUAGACGAAUCAUCUGGAAAGAUGAAUCAAAGAAG